RNAcentral lists this unclassified non-coding RNA (302 nucleotides) under plant metagenome. RNAcentral describes it as "partial contains small subunit ribosomal RNA, internal transcribed spacer 1, and 5.8S ribosomal RNA". The record is from RNAcentral.
UUUCCGUAGGUGAACCUGCGGAAGGAUCAUUCAGGAAGUUUAAACUGAGUAUUCCAUUUUAGUUGCUCAGUUUAAACAUUUAACCUGCCCACAUUAUGUGCACUGUUAUCUCUGCCUUUGGCAUUUGCCUCUUGAAACAAUUAUUUUGUUUCUAAGACUCGUUAUGAAGAUUGGUAUCAGUUUUCAUUUCGAGAAGUGCGUGCCAUUGGCUUCUUAUUUCAAUUUUACGCCUAAAAUAAUUUUAAUUUUAUUAUUUAAAUAAAUACAAAAUAUAACUUUCAACAACGGAUCUCUUGGCUCUC